CAAUAGCGUAUAUUAAAGUUGUUGCAGUUAAAAAGCUCGUAGUUGAAUUUCAGGCCGUCCCGCGCGGUCCGCCGAAUGGCGCGACCUCGUCGGCCGGCCUCAUCGCCGCAAGGCGACGUUUACUGUGAGAAAAUUAGAGUGUUCAAAGCAGGCUUACGCUUGAAUACUUCAGCAUGGAAUAAUAGAAUAGGACUUUGGUUCUAUUUUGUUGGUUUCUAGGACCGAAGUAAUGAUUAAUAGGGAUAGUUGGGGGCAUUAGUAUUUAAUUGUCAGAGGUGAAAUUCUUGGAUUUAUGAAAGACUAACUUCUGCGAAANCANNNGCCAAGGAUGUUUUCAUNAA
RNAcentral lists this ribosomal RNA (341 nucleotides) under uncultured eukaryote. Its description in RNAcentral is "partial 18S ribosomal RNA". It matches the Rfam family "Eukaryotic small subunit ribosomal RNA", at positions 592 to 976 of the family's 1831-position model. The record is from RNAcentral.